Molecule: ribosomal RNA, 440 nt
Filed under: uncultured bacterium
Lineage: Bacteria
Description: partial 16S ribosomal RNA
Rfam family: Bacterial small subunit ribosomal RNA
Source: RNAcentral
CCUACGGGUGGCAGCAGUGGGGAAUAUUGCACAAUGGGGGAAACCCUGAUGCAGCAACGCCGCGUGAGUGAAGAAGUAUUUCGGUAUGUAAAGCUCUAUCAGCAGGGAAGAAAAUGACAGUACCUGACUAAGAAGCCCCGGCUAACUACGUGCCAGCAGCCGCGGUAAUACGUAGGGGGCAAGCGUUAUCCAGAUUUACUGGGUGUAAAGGGAGCGUAGACGGCUGCGCAAGUCAGAAGUGAAAGCCCGGGGCUCAACCGCGGGACUGCUUUUGAAACUGUGUAGCUGGAGUGCAGGGGAGGUAGGAGGAAUUCCUAGUGGAGCGGUGAAAUGCGUAGAUAUUAGGAGGAACACCGGUGGCGAAGGCGGCUUACUGGACUGUAACUGACGUUGAGGCUCGAAAGCGUGGGGAGCAAACAGGAUUAGAUACCCGGGUAGUC